RNAcentral lists this ribosomal RNA (433 nucleotides) under uncultured bacterium. RNAcentral's name for it is "partial 16S ribosomal RNA". It matches the Rfam family "Bacterial small subunit ribosomal RNA", at positions 29 to 507 of the family's 1533-position model. The record is from RNAcentral.
AACGAACGCUGGCGGCAUGCCUAACACAUGCAAGUCGAACGAAACCUCCGUGCCUAUUUGCGCACGUGGGCGUAACGCGUGGUAACCUGCCCUUCCGUUCCGUCUAACUCCCUGUAAGGGGUGCUAAUACCAGGUAAUGUAUUCGGGCCAACGAUUUACCGCCUUUGGCUGGGCCCGCGUUGGUUUAGCUAGUUGGUAGGGUAAAAGCCUACCAAGGCGACGAUCCAUAGCUGGUCUGAGAGGAUGAUCAUCCACACUGGGACUGAGACACGGCCCAGACUGCUACGGAGGGCAGCAGUGGGGAAUAUAGGACGAGGGAGGAAGGCGUGACACAGCAGUGCGGGGGUAGAGAUGAGGGCGGUAGGGUUGCAAAGCUCUUUUACCCGGGAUGAUAAUGACAGUACCGGGAGAAUAAGCCCCGGCUAACUACGUG